UGUACUGUAUGGUGAAGGGAGGGGGGUCUUUGUACUGUACUGGAUGGUGAAGGGAGGGGGGUCUUUGUAUUGUACUGGGUGGUGAAGGGAGGGGGUCUUGUGUACUGUACUGGAUGGUGAAGUGAGGGGAGUCUUUGUACUGUACUGGGUGGUGAAGGAGGGGUUGUCUUUGUACUGUUCUGGGUAUUGAAGGGGGAGUAUUUGUACUUUACUGGAUGUUGAAGGGGGUAUUUGUAUUGUACUGGAUGGUGAAGGGAGAGGGGUCUUUGUACUGUACUGGGUGGUGAAGGGAGGGGGUCUUUAUACUGUACCGGGUGGUGAUAAAACAAUACCCCAGCCUCUUCUAGGGUUGAGAGGUCAUAGCAGUUAGGAUGAUCAAUGGCUGGAAACAUGUAGAACCUCCGAUCCAACGGCA
Molecule: long non-coding RNA, 415 nt
Organism: Oncorhynchus tshawytscha (Chinook salmon)
Lineage: Eukaryota; Metazoa; Chordata; Actinopteri; Salmoniformes; Salmonidae
Source: Ensembl